Molecule: ribosomal RNA, 467 nt
Filed under: uncultured bacterium
Lineage: Bacteria
Description: partial 16S ribosomal RNA
Rfam family: Bacterial small subunit ribosomal RNA
Source: RNAcentral
ACGAACGCUGGCGGCGUGCUUAACACAUGCCAGUCGCACGGAAAGGCCCUGCUUUUGUGGGGUGCUCGAGUGGCGAACGGGUGAGUAACACGUGAGUAACCUGCCCUUGACUUUGGGAUAACUUCAGGAAACUGGGGCUAAUACCGGAUAGGAGCUCCUGCUGCAUGGUGGGGGUUGGAAAGUUUCGGCGGUUGGGGAUGGACUCGCGGCUUAUCAGCUUGUUGGUGGGGUAGUGGCUUACCAAGGCUUUGACGGGUAGCCGGCCUGAGAGGGUGACCGGCCACAUUGGGACUGAGAUACGGCCCAGACUCCUGCGGGAGGCAGCAGUGGGGAAUAUUGCACAAUGGGCGGAAGCCUGAUGCAGCAACGCCGCGUGCGGGAUGACGGCCUUCGGGUUGUAAACCGCUUUCGCCUGUGACGAAGCGUGAGUGACGGUAAUGGGUAAAGAAGCACCGGCUAACUACGUG